RNAcentral lists this unclassified non-coding RNA (240 nucleotides) under soil metagenome. RNAcentral's name for it is "partial contains 5.8S ribosomal RNA, internal transcribed spacer 2, and large subunit ribosomal RNA". The record is from RNAcentral.
AACACUGUUAACCUGCGGUACCUGCGGAGGGAUCAUUAAAAAGUUUCAAGAAUUCCAUGUUCUUAAACACCUUCAGUGUACUUGUAACUGUUGCUUCCGUGGGUAGUGGGCUGCAUGCCUGCGUUUGCCUUGUGUGGUGAACCCACGGGAGAUAUCUAUAAAUUCUACCUUUAGGUGAUAUCAGUCUGAAUGUGUUAAAUUGAAAACAUGAAAACUUUCAACAACGGAUCUCAGAUCGGA